AUUACUGUGACGAUUGUUGGUCUCCAGGUGCUGUCUCUGUACUAUCUUCCUUUAUUCUUCUCCUAGCUCGCAUUUUUGUUUCUUGGAAAGGGACUAUGUGGGGAUUGGAGGAAAUAAAUAGGAAAGGAUUAAUAAUUUGAUAUCUCCUAUUGAUGCAUUCCAAGCUGGGUUUGGUAAGACAAAUUCUUUGAGAUCCUUUGUGUUUUGUUUUUCUGGAGUAGAAAUGCGCCAAUAGUAGUAUAUUGUACAGUCAAUAUUUCUGAGCAUGUUAGGAAAUCUUUGGCUAUGGAAUUAUCACAUCCUAGGACCUAAUAUAUUUAUUUUGCACCUGUGUAGCUAUAUGUGAAUAAAUACUCAUCUAGAUGCCAUAUAGUCCCAUUCACUCUUUAUACACAUUCUUAAAGAACAUUCAAUACCAAUGGAUGGAAUGGUGAGUUAGAUCUAUAGGUACCAUGAUAUAUUCUUUCCCUUGAGGAAGUGCUUUAUGUUAAGGGAUAUGCUGAAAGGAAUAGUAGAAUGAGAAUGACAAGUAUAUUUUGAUUAAGGAGAUCUAGUUACUAAAACUUGUCAGCCCUUUUAGGACCUUCCUUUUUGAUGAGUAGAUGUUAUUUUAUUGGCAAAAAGUGAUUUCGAAUACAAGAGCCAAGAGGUAUAUUAGAAUGAAAUACACAGUGUUUUUAGGAAUUAUUGACUGCAUAAACACUAGAUAUUCGAGUCAGUUGCAGUAACAGUCUUCCCAACUUGGACAUGUUAAAAAAAACUCGUAGCUGAGCGUAAGUCCUAGCUGACAAAAUUCCAUCACAUCAAAGUCAGGAAUUGUUGAUCGCAUAAUGCUAGAUUUUCUAAGUCAGUUGCAGUAAACAACUUCCCCAAAUCUUCUCCACUUGGACCUGUUUAAAAAAAAUUCUUACCAACUGAGCUUAAACUCUAGCUGACAAAACUCCAUCAGAUUACAGUCAUGCAUUUCUUUUGCCUGUCACUUUGUUUAUAAUCAGAUAUAAGAUUUGAGAUCUGGAAAUAUUGUUAGUUUGAUUUCAUGAUUUACUUGUAUGAUUGUUCUUUGUUUACUAGAUGGCUGUUUUUGCAUUCAACUUAUCUUACGCUGGUAUAGUGUUCGGGUUUUACCUUUCGGUAUGAGAAAUAAGGAGCAUUGACCCCAGCUAGUACUAUCCCAAUGCCCUGGUGCAUGUGGUACUAAUGAAAUCUCCUGCAUCCAUCCUAGAACUAAAUGGCAUAUC
RNAcentral lists this long non-coding RNA (1238 nucleotides) under Nicotiana benthamiana. Its description in RNAcentral is "long non-coding RNA (NBEN_LNC015559)". The record is from RNAcentral. Lineage: Eukaryota; Viridiplantae; Streptophyta; Magnoliopsida; Solanales; Solanaceae.